UUUGAUUUGAACCGACAGGCUGUCGAUCCUAUUAUCUUGUGAGACUGUAGCAGGAAACUUAAUAGCUCUGGUCUGUUGGUCUCUGGCCAGCCUGGCCGCAUGGAUGUCCUUUAUCGUACUGGUGAAACUCAGCAGGGCAUUCCUACAUACACGCCGCGUAUGGUUUCGGUAGAUCUUCAAGGAUCCCUAGGAUCAGUGGGUUCGCGGGGAUCUUUGUACAAUGAAGCCCCAGAAACGUCAACGGAUAAUAUUACAUGGACAGGUCCUGUAACAAUUCAAACAUCUCAGCCUAUAAAGAAGAAUUUGUUCUUGCAAAGUUUGCACUUGGAAGAAAAUGAAAACUUGGGUAGCUCAGGAGGUUGUGACAGCAGUGACAAUGCUUUCCAUACUGAAAUUCCUGAUAAGGACAUUGUCGAAAGUCUCGAAAAUGAAGUUCAGUAUUGGACAGAUUUCUCAAAAGUUCAUUAUCACCCUCAGAGUUUGUAUGAAUUGAGUGGGAUGUGGAUGGACCUCAAAGAAUUUAAAAAUUAUGGAAUUGGAAAAGAGGCAUUUUCAGGUGUACACACAGAAGAAAUUAAUGAGAGACUUCGCUUUUUCAUUGAAGAAAGUGACCAUCCUCAGGGAAUUCAAUUCAUUGUUGAUGAUUUUGGGGGCUUCUCUGGUUUAGCAGCGGAGUUUCUAGAGAAUAUUUCUGAUGAGUACCCAAACAUUCCAGUCCUAUUGUACUCUGUUCAUGCUCCUGACACUUGCCUAGGUUCCCAAAACCGCAAAAUGGCAAUAUCCCGUAAACUUCAUGAUGCAGUUUCAUUCGCCAAGUUGUCAUCAUUCUGUAAAAUGAUUGUUCCGAUUGGUCUGCCAUCGCCAAGUAUGAGUAAGAUGUCAAAGCACCUCCAUUUGGAAGAUAAAAAACCUUAUCACACCAGUGCAGUUUAUGCAUCUGCGAUACACUCUGUCAGUCUCCCUUUCAGAAUGGAUACACUGGGGCCUAGUGCACAGUUGAGCCACACAUGUGGUGCUUUGAGUGUCAAUGACCUCGUCCAAAUGUUAGCAGGCCGGGAUCGGCAGAACAUGGUUGUUACACUGGAUGUUGCAAUGCCGGCUCCAGCUUUGACAGCUGUCCAGGUCCAACAAUCUUUAUUAAAGCAGUUGCAGCCAAUUAGUCCUGAAAUAUCCGAUGUUGAAGACAUGCAUGCUUUGGAAUCUAUGAUCAUCCAUGGGGUCUGUGGAUCAGGAAGCAAAAGAGCCUUAGUUUCCCAAGUUCAGGAAGCUGUCCAAGCUGCUUAUUUAAGUGCAGAAGAAAGGCCCAAAUUCUCCCAUCUAUCUCUUGCUCGGUGUCCUCUUCCAAUACCAUUGCCUUUCCCUUCAAUAUUUGGGAACCAUGUUGGCCAAAAUGGUGAGCUCUUGGAUGCCCCCAUUUCCGACUCUCCAUCAAGGGGGUCACUUGAAGUCCACUCGAUCCCCAUGGCAGCAAAACUACGUUCCAGCAAUGGUUUUUUGCCGUUUCUGGAGAAUAGACUGGGAAGCCUUGGCAAGUUUGGCAUUGGACGAGGAGCACUUGGGGCAGAGUUACUGAAAAGUUGGGGAUUUGGAGAUGAGGAUGUAGAAGAUAUGGUAGAGACGCUGUCAAAUAUGGUAGCAAAGUUGAAACCAGCAUUCGAAGAAACAUCAGAUUCUGAUUGAAGAGAUUUACCUGGAGCUGGAUGUGUCAGGCUAGAUAGUAGAUAGAGCAAUCUAGCCAUGCAGGUUUGUUCUAUCUUUACAUCGCGGUGCUUCUUGUUGUAAAUAACAGGCUUACCAUUGAGAAUUUAAUGAAGGUACGCUUGUCUUGAAAUCUCUCUAGUUUUUUAACAUUAUUGCAACAUUGGAUCAAAUCUUGCGACUUACAGUAUGGAUUGCUGAUCAAAUAUGGGUUUUGGUUUAGUUCAAAGUCACUUAGGUAUUGGCCUCUUAGGAUGUGUUGGUAAAUACAGCUAGAACCCAUUAUUCUUUUGUCGGCAUAGUUUGUCUGCAAAACUUUUAACUUUUCCAACUUUUUAUUGCAGUCUAAGUCUUCCAA
Andrographis paniculata is the source of this 2056-nucleotide RNA transcript. RefSeq lists it as uncharacterized. The transcript has 10 exons. Lineage: Eukaryota; Viridiplantae; Streptophyta; Magnoliopsida; Lamiales; Acanthaceae. The record is from RefSeq and is a predicted model, not a curated record.